RNAcentral lists this long non-coding RNA (497 nucleotides) under Varanus komodoensis (Komodo dragon). RNAcentral's name for it is "lncRNA (ENSVKKG00000014753.1)". The record is from RNAcentral. Lineage: Eukaryota; Metazoa; Chordata; Lepidosauria; Squamata; Varanidae.
CGCCGCUGUGGAGCACGUGCUUUAAAGCCCGGUCCUCUGCUCAUGGGGUCUCUCCUCCCCUCCGCUCUCCCCCCACGCAGGAGGCAGCCACGUGAGCGGCUUCGCGGCCUCCCCUGCCAGCCAGCCGGUGAUGGGCGUUCCCGACAUGGGGGGCACCUUCCGAGUCGGAGGCGUCCCGAGCAGCGUCUUUGGGGCCCUCAGCCAGUCGCCCGUGCUGCCCCCACCCAGCCCGGCCCCAGCGUAUGGGGCCUGCAGCAACCCCUUCGCCGCCGCCUCCCAGCCGGCGCUGCCUUCCACUAACCCUUUCCAGACCAACGGCUUGGCCCCAGGCGCCUUCAUGGUCGGCUCCCCCAGCAGCUUCUCCGGCAUCUUCGCUUCGCCAAUGCAGCCGCAGCCGCCCCUCUUCCCUCCCCAGGUGGUGCUGGGACAACAGCAGAACGGCGGUAACGGUGUUCGCCUUUGGGGGGCGCCGGUGGGGCUGUUCCACACGCCUUCGG